AUUGAACGCUGGCGGCAUGCCUUACACAUGCAAGUCGAACGGUAACAGGUCUUCGGAUGCUGACGAGUGGCGAACGGGUGAGUAAUACAUCGGAACGUGCCUAGUAGUGGGGGAUAACUACUCGAAAGAGUGGCUAAUACCGCAUGAGAUCUACGGAUGAAAGCAGGGGAUCGCAAGACCUUGUGCUACUAGAGCGGCCGAUGGCAGAUUAGGGAGUUGGUGGGAUAAAAGCUUACCAAGCCGACGAUCUGUAGCUGGUCUGAGAGGACGAUCAGCGACACUGGGACUGAGACACGGUCCAGAUUCCUACGGGAGGCAGCAGUGGGGAAUUUUGGACAAUGGGCGCAAGCCUGAUCCAGAAAUGCCGCGUGCAGGAUGAAGGCCUUCGGGUUGUAAACUGCUUUUGUACGGAACGAAAAGCCCCGGGUUAAUACCCUGGGGUCAUGACGGUACCGUAAGAAUAAGCACCGGCUAACUACGUGCCAGCCGCCGCGGUAA
This 498-nucleotide ribosomal RNA is filed under the name uncultured bacterium. RNAcentral's name for it is "partial 16S ribosomal RNA". It matches the Rfam family "Bacterial small subunit ribosomal RNA", at positions 30 to 523 of the family's 1533-position model. The record is from RNAcentral.